Molecule: ribosomal RNA, 460 nt
Filed under: uncultured bacterium
Lineage: Bacteria
Description: partial 16S ribosomal RNA
Rfam family: Bacterial small subunit ribosomal RNA
Source: RNAcentral
CCUACGGGAGGCAGCAGUGAGGAAUAUUGGUCAAUGGACGAGAGUCUGAACCAGCCAAGUAGCGUGAAGGAUGACUGCCCUAUGGGUUGUAAACUUCUUUUAUAUGGGAAUAAAAUGUUCCACGUGUGGGAUUUUGUAUGUACCAUAUGAAUAAGGAUCGGCUAACUCCGUGCCAGCAGCCGCGGUAAUACGGAGGAUCCGAGCGUUAUCCGGAUUUAUUGGGUUUAAAGGGAGCGUAGGUGGAUUGUUAAGUCAGUUGUGAAAGUUUGCGGCGCAACCGUAAAAUUGCAGUUGAAACUGGCAGUCUGGAGUACAGUAGAGGUGGGCGGAAUUCGUGGUGUAGCGGUGAAAUGCUUAGAUAUCACGAAGAACUCCGAUUGCGAAGGCAGCUCACUGGACUGCAACUGACACUGAGGCUCGAAAGUGUGGGUAUCAAACAGGAUUAGAUACCCCUGUAGUC